RNAcentral lists this ribosomal RNA (460 nucleotides) under uncultured bacterium. RNAcentral's name for it is "partial 16S ribosomal RNA". It matches the Rfam family "Bacterial small subunit ribosomal RNA", at positions 338 to 795 of the family's 1533-position model. The record is from RNAcentral.
CCUACGUGAGGCUGCAGUGAGGAAUAUUUGUCAAUGGGCUUACGCCUGAACCAGCCAAGUCGCGUGAGGGAAGACUGCCCUAUGGGUUGUAAACCUCUUUUGUCAGGGAGCAAUUGGCGCUACGUGUAGCGUUAUCGAGAGUACCUGAAGAAAAAGCAUCGGCUAACUCCGUGCCAGCAGCCGCGGUAAUACGGAGGAUGCGAGCGUUAUCCGGAUUUAUGGGGUUUAAAGGUUGCGUAGGCGGAAUGCCAAGUCAGCGGUAAAAUCGCGGGGCUCAACCUCGCUCCGCCGUUGAAACUGGCGUUCUUGAGUGGGCGAGAAGUAUGCGGAAUGCGUGGUGUAGCGGUGAAAUGCAUAGAUAUCACGCAGAACUCCGAUUGCGAAGGCAGCAUACCGGCGCCCAACUGACGCUGAAGCACGAAAGCGUGGGUAUCGAACAGGAUUAGAUACCCCAGUAGUC